UCGACGCAUCAACAUCUCAUGAACUCUUAAUUCGGCCCUUUUCCAACCUAAAGCAUUAAUAAACCUUUGCCUUUGGUAAUAUGCCUGCUGAUCUGUACCUUUAUUCAAUAUCUGUCCUGGCCAAAUGGGGACGUCAUCUGGACCGCCACUUUGUCAUCACCGGCCGUUAGCGACCAGCGGGACCACGCCGUCUUCCCAUUCCGUGCCUGACAUGGCGCAGCCGACAGGAUCAGCAGCAUUCCAUUCUGUUACGAGGCAAGAUCGUUCCAAUUUCAUUCGCCCCGGCAUGAGGCACGUUGUAAGUUCUUUUGGGUCCCAUUUCCUGAGGCACCUAUUCCGUAUUUUUCAGUGGUCACUAUUAUGUUCAUCUCCAUCUCGGAGUAUGAUAGGACUUUCUCGAAUUUGUCUUUGGAGCUGUAACCUCUCGGAGCAUCUUCUGGAGAAGCCCAGGAAUCAACCCAAACCAAGACCGCCAAAGUCGAAGCGGACUUGGAUUCAUCAGCGAAGACAGCCUCACAACCACAAGACCUCACGACUGGAAGAUUUCCGUAUCCCACAGACGUUCUAAUAAAGUGCCUCCUGAACUGGAGGACAGUUCAUCCUUCAACGCGGAGGUCGUGUGAGCUGCAGCAGCAUCGUCAUCACCGCCGCUGUCCAAUUGUCUUCAUCGUGGCAUCGCCCACCCAGCAAACCACCAGCGCCACACGGACGUGCAUAGGACGUCGCAACAUGGAUAUUUGGAUAUCCAGUGGAUUUUCCUGAGGGUCCAACUUACGUCCACUGGAUAUCCAUGGGAGCUGGACUUUACCCCUGUUUUCUGAUCCCAGGAAUCUCCAGACAAUGUUCAUAGGGAUAUUUCAUUUCAUUUAAUAUACCUGAAGGACCCAUGUGGGUAUUACAUCAGGGGGGACAAAUACAAACUUUCACAGUGGGCAAUAAAAAGAUCUGUUAGUAAUAGAGGCAACA
Ornithodoros turicata is the source of this 966-nucleotide long non-coding RNA. RefSeq lists it as uncharacterized. Lineage: Eukaryota; Metazoa; Arthropoda; Arachnida; Ixodida; Argasidae. The record is from RefSeq and is a predicted model, not a curated record. The transcript is spliced from 2 exons.